UACCACAUCCAAGGAAGGCCGCAGCCACGCAAAUUACCCAAUCCCAGCUCUGGGAGGUAGUGACGAAAAAUAACAAUGCGGGACUCUUCCGAGUCUGCGUAAUUGGAAUGAGCACACUUUAAAUCCUUUAGCAACAACCAAUUGGAGGGCAAGUCUGGUGCCAGCAGCCGCGGUAAUUCCAGCUCCAAUAGCGUAUAUUAAAGUUGUUGCGGUUAAAAAGCUCGUAGUUCGAGCUCAGUUCCGGACUGGCUGGGGAGGUCACCGCCCGGUGCUUCCCCGUCAGGCUCCGAACAGCUUCCGUGAGUGGAAGCCAAGCCGGUUCUGCCGGGGUGCUCUUUACCGAGUGUCCCGUGCGGCCGGCCAGUUCACCUUGAAUAAAUGAGAGUGCUCAAAGCAGGCUACUCUCGAAUACAAUGCCCGAAUGUUACCUGCAUGGAAUGAUGGAAGAUGAUCUCGGUUCCAUUUUGUUGGUGGUGGGAGCCAGAGGUAAUGAUAAACAGGGACUGUCGGGGGCAUCCGUACUACGACGCGAGAGGUGAAAU
RNAcentral lists this ribosomal RNA (542 nucleotides) under Palaemon mercedae. Its description in RNAcentral is "bacterial SSU rRNA". It matches the Rfam family "Eukaryotic small subunit ribosomal RNA", at positions 408 to 917 of the family's 1831-position model. The record is from RNAcentral. Lineage: Eukaryota; Metazoa; Arthropoda; Malacostraca; Decapoda; Palaemonidae.